ACGUAGGUAGCGAGCGUUAUCCGGAUUCACUGGGCGUAAAGGGUCCGCAGGAGGCCUGUCAAGUCGGAUGUGAAAGCCCAAGGCUCAACCUUGGAACGUCAUCCGAAACUGCCGGUCUAGAGUGCAUGAGGGGUAGGCGGAAUUCCUGGUGUAGCGGUGAAAUGCGUAGAUAUGAGGAGGAACACCGGUGGCGAAGGCGGUUUUCUGGAAUGCAACUGACUCUGAGGCGCGAAAGCGUGGGGAGCGAACAG
This 251-nucleotide ribosomal RNA is filed under the name uncultured prokaryote. RNAcentral's name for it is "partial 16S rRNA". It matches the Rfam family "Bacterial small subunit ribosomal RNA", at positions 525 to 775 of the family's 1533-position model. The record is from RNAcentral.